UUGGGUAGCUAUGACAUAUGGUUAGAUGUCAAUCAUAGCUUGUGAGUUCUUCUAGAUGAUUAAAUGUAGCCACCAAAGAAGAAUGGUGAAUUGAAAUGAAGUUUCAAUUCAAUAAGUGAUUGAAUUAAUUGGAUUGGUUCCGAUCACCUCACUGCCUUGCUAAUUAGAACCUAAAAGAUUGUUCACCGAUACACUAUUGUAGUGAGUAACUAAUGGAUGAUGGAAAUGAUUAAUUGGAUUAAUUAAUUGUUGUGAUUAAUUUAGAAAGUCUAAAGAAAUCAUAAAAGCGAUAAAGAU
RNAcentral lists this long non-coding RNA (297 nucleotides) under Malus domestica (apple). Its description in RNAcentral is "long non-coding RNA (MDOM_LNC006827)". Lineage: Eukaryota; Viridiplantae; Streptophyta; Magnoliopsida; Rosales; Rosaceae. The record is from RNAcentral.